CACGGGGGGAGCAAGCGUUGUUCGGAAUCACUGGGCGUAAAGGGCGUGUAGGCGGUUUGGUAAGUGGAAUGUGAAAUCCCCCGGCUUACCCGGGGACCUGCAUCCCAUACUGCCAAGCUUGAGUACGGGAGAGGAUGAGGGAAUUCCUGGUGUAGCGGUGAAAUGCGUAGAUAUCAGGAGGAACACCGGUGGCGAAAGCGCUCAUCUGGCCCGAUACUGACGCUGAUGCGCGAAAGCUAGGGGAGCAAACGGG
Molecule: ribosomal RNA, 253 nt
Filed under: uncultured bacterium
Lineage: Bacteria
Description: partial 16S ribosomal RNA
Rfam family: Bacterial small subunit ribosomal RNA
Source: RNAcentral